This 78-nucleotide transfer RNA is filed under the name Patescibacteria group bacterium. RNAcentral's name for it is "tRNA-Ile". It matches the Rfam family "tRNA". From Rfam's summary of the family: Transfer RNA (tRNA) molecules are approximately 80 nucleotides in length. Their secondary structure includes four short double-helical elements and three loops (D, anti-codon, and T loops). The record is from RNAcentral.
GGGGACGUAGCUCAAUUGGCUUAGAGCAUGCGGUUGAUAACCGCAAGGUUGGUGGUUCGAUGCCACCCGUCCCUACCA